GCUGAAGGAACUAGGCAAAAUGGUACCGUAACUUCGGGAGAAGGUACGCUGCCGACGGUGAUGGGAUUUACUCCCUGAGCGGUUGGCAGCCACAGAAACCAGGCCCCUGCAACUGUUUAUUAAAAACAUAGCACUCUGCAAACACGAAAGUGGACGUAUAGGGUGUGAUGCCUGCCCGGUGCUGGAAGGUUAAUUGAUGGGGUUAGCGUAAGCGAAGCUCUUGAUCGAAGCCCCAGUAAACGGCGGCCGUAACUAUAACGGUCCUAAGGUAGCGAAAUUCCUUGUCGGGUAAGUUCCGACCUGCACGAAUGGCAUAAUGAUGGGGGCGCUGUCUCCAGCAGAGACUCAGUGAAAUCGAAUUCGCCGUGAAGAUGCGGUGUACCCGCGGCUAGACGGAAAGACCCCGUGAACCUUUACUGCAGCUUGACAUUGAACUUUGAUCUUACUUGUGUAGGAUAGGUGGGAGGCUUUGAAACUCGGACGCUAGUUCGAGUGGAGCCAAUCUUGAAAUACCACCCUGGUAAUAUUGAGGUUCUAACUCUGCUCCAUUAUCUGGAGCGAGGACCAUGUCUGGUGGGUAGUUUGACUGGGGCGGUCUCCUCCUAAAGAGUAACGGAGGAGUACGAAGGUGCGCUCAGCGUGGUCGGAAAUCACGCGUAGAGUAUAAAGGCAAAAGCGCGCUUAACUGCGAGACCGACAAGUCGAGCAGGUACGAAAGUAGGUCUUAGUGAUCCGGUGGUUCUGUAUGGAAGGGCCAUCGCUCAACGGAUAAAAGGUACUCUGGGGAUAACAGGCUGAUACCGCCCAAGAGUUCAUAUCGACGGCGGUGUUUGGCACCUCGAUGUCGGCUCAUCUCAUCCUGGGGCUGAAGCAGGUCCCAAGGGUAUGGCUGUUCGCCAUUUAAAGAGGUACGCGAGCUGGGUUUAGAACGUCGUGAGACAGUUCGGUCCCUAUCUACCGUGGGCGUUGGAGACUUGAGAGGAUCUGCUUCUAGUACGAGAGGACCGAAGUGGACGAACCUCUGGUGUUCCGGUUGUCACGCCAGUGGCACUGCCGGGUAGCUAUGUUCGGAAGGGAUAACCGCUGAAAGCAUCUAAGCGGGAAGCCUACCUCAAGAUAAGAUUUCCCUAGGACUUUAUGUCCUCUAAAGAGCCGUUGAAGACUACGACGUUGAUAGGUUGGAUGUGGAAGUGCAGUGAUGCAUGAAGCUGACCAAUACUAAUUGCUCGUGAGGCUUGACUAU
Molecule: ribosomal RNA, 1243 nt
Filed under: wastewater metagenome
Description: bacterial LSU rRNA
Rfam family: Bacterial large subunit ribosomal RNA
Source: RNAcentral